UACGAAGGGGGCUAGCGUUGUUCGGAAUCACUGGGCGUAAAGCGCACGUAGGCGGAUCGUUAAGUCGGGGGUGAAAUCCCAGGGCUCAACCCUGGAACUGCCUUCGAUACUGGCGAUCUUCGAGUCCGGGAGAGGUGAGUGGAACUCCGAGUGUAGAGGUGAAAUUCGUAGAUAUUCGGAAGAACACCAGUGGCGAAGGCGGCUCACUGGCCCGGUACUGACGCUGAGGUGCGAAAGCGUGGGGAGCAAA
RNAcentral lists this ribosomal RNA (250 nucleotides) under uncultured bacterium. RNAcentral describes it as "partial 16S ribosomal RNA". It matches the Rfam family "Bacterial small subunit ribosomal RNA", at positions 524 to 772 of the family's 1533-position model. The record is from RNAcentral.